UACGGAGGGGGCUAGCGUUGUUCGGAAUUACUGGGCGUAAAGCGCGCGUAGGCGGACUGGAGAGUUGGGGGUGAAAUCCCGGGGCUCAACCUCGGAACUGCCUCCAAAACUAUCAGUCUGGAGUUCGAGAGAGGUGAGUGGAAUUCCGAGUGUAGAGGUGAAAUUCGUAGAUAUUCGGAGGAACACCAGUGGCGAAGGCGGCUCACUGGCUCGAUACUGACACUGAGGUGCGAAAGCGUGGGGAGCAAACAGGAUUAGAUACCCGGGUAGUCCCUGA
Molecule: ribosomal RNA, 277 nt
Filed under: uncultured prokaryote
Description: partial 16S ribosomal RNA
Rfam family: Bacterial small subunit ribosomal RNA
Source: RNAcentral